This 414-nucleotide ribosomal RNA is filed under the name uncultured bacterium. RNAcentral's name for it is "bacterial SSU rRNA". It matches the Rfam family "Bacterial small subunit ribosomal RNA", at positions 355 to 774 of the family's 1533-position model. The record is from RNAcentral.
UCGAGAAUCUUCGGCAAUGGGCGCAAGCCUGACCGAGCGACGCCGCGUGGAGGAUGAAGGCCUUCGGGUUGUAAACUCCUGUCGAGGGGAAAGAAGGUCCGCAAGGACUUGACUGAUCCCUGGAGGAAGCACGGGCUAAGUUCGUGCCAGCAGCCGCGGUAAGACGAACCGUGCGAACGUUAUUCGGAAUCACUGGGCUUAAAGCGCGUGUAGGCGGGAUGGUACGUCCGACGCUGAAAUCCCCCGGCUCAACCGGGGAACGGGCGGGGAUACGGCCAUCCUGGAGGGGCGUAGGGGUACCUGGAACUUCCGGUAGAGCGGUGAAAUGCGUUGAGAUCGGAAGGAACGCCCGCGGCGAAAGCGAGGUCCUGGACGCUUACUGACGCUGAGACGCGAAAGCCAGGGGAGCGAACG